Molecule: transfer RNA, 90 nt
Filed under: Mycolicibacterium novocastrense
Lineage: Bacteria; Bacillati; Actinomycetota; Actinomycetes; Mycobacteriales; Mycobacteriaceae
Description: tRNA-Ser
Rfam family: tRNA
About the family: Transfer RNA (tRNA) molecules are approximately 80 nucleotides in length. Their secondary structure includes four short double-helical elements and three loops (D, anti-codon, and T loops).
Source: RNAcentral
GGAAGUGUGGCGGAAGUGGUUUGAAGGCAGCGGUCUUGAAAACCGCCGAAGGGAGACCCUUCCCAGAGUUCGAAUCUCUGCGCUUCGCCA